This 4613-nucleotide small RNA is filed under the name Pongo abelii (Sumatran orangutan). RNAcentral describes it as "retained intron". The record is from RNAcentral. Lineage: Eukaryota; Metazoa; Chordata; Mammalia; Primates; Hominidae.
AGUGUGAACUGUCUUGCUUUUCAGAACAGCAUAAGAAUUAUUUCUGGGUGGAGGUGAGGCUUGUCCAAAUGUCUUUGCUGUCAUGUUUCCUGACUACUACCUGUUUGAGGUUUGGGCAAUUAUGAAUAAAGCUGCUGUAUACAUCCAUGUGCAGGAUUUUGUGUGGACAUAAGUUUUCAACUCCUUUGGGUUAAAUCCUAAGGAAUUUCAUAUGCAGAAUAAAUGGUAAUUAAAAUGUGCAGGAUGACAAGAUGGAGCAAACAGUGCUUGUACCACCAGGACCUGACAGCUUCAACUUCUUCACCAGAGAAUCUCUUGCGGCUAUUGAAAGACGCAUUGCAGAAGAAAAGGCUAAGAAUCCCAAACCAGACAAAAAAGAUGACGAUGAAAAUGGCCCAAAGCCAAAUAGUGACUUGGAAGCUGGAAAGAACCUUCCAUUUAUUUAUGGAGACAUUCCUCCAGAGAUGGUGUCAGAGCCCCUGGAGGACCUGGACCCCUACUAUAUCAAUAAGAAAACUUUUAUAGUAUUGAAUAAAGGGAAGGCCAUCUUCCGGUUCAGUGCCACCUCUGCCCUGUACAUUUUAACUCCCUUCAAUCCUCUUAGGAAAAUAGCUAUUAAGAUUUUGGUACAUUCAUUAUUCAGCAUGCUAAUUAUGUGCACUAUUUUGACAAAUUGUGUGUUUAUGACAAUGAGUAACCCUCCUGAUUGGACAAAGAAUGUAGAAUACACCUUCACAGGAAUAUAUACUUUUGAAUCACUUAUAAAAAUUAUUGCAAGGGGAUUCUGUUUAGAAGAUUUUACUUUCCUUCGGGAUCCAUGGAACUGGCUCGAUUUCACUGUCAUUACUUUUGCGUACGUCACAGAGUUUGUGGACCUGGGCAAUGUCUCGGCAUUGAGAACAUUCAGAGUUCUCCGAGCAUUGAAGACGAUUUCAGUCAUUCCAGGCCUGAAAACCAUUGUGGGAGCCCUGAUCCAGUCUGUGAAGAAGCUCUCAGAUGUAAUGAUCCUGACUGUGUUCUGUCUGAGCGUAUUUGCUCUAAUUGGGCUGCAGCUGUUCAUGGGCAACCUGAGGAAUAAAUGUAUACAAUGGCCUCCCACCAAUGCUUCCUUGGAGGAACAUAGUAUAGAAAAGAAUAUAACUGUGAAUUACAAUGGUACACUUAUAAAUGAAACUGUCUUUGAGUUUGACUGGAAGUCAUAUAUUCAAGAUUCAAGAUAUCAUUAUUUCCUGGAGGGUUUUUUAGAUGCACUACUAUGUGGAAAUAGCUCUGAUGCAGGCCAAUGUCCAGAGGGAUAUAUGUGUGUGAAAGCUGGUAGAAAUCCCAAUUAUGGCUACACAAGCUUUGAUACCUUCAGUUGGGCUUUUUUGUCCUUGUUUCGACUAAUGACUCAGGACUUCUGGGAAAAUCUUUAUCAACUGACAUUACGUGCUGCUGGGAAAACGUACAUGAUAUUUUUUGUGUUGGUCAUUUUCUUGGGCUCAUUCUACCUAAUAAAUUUGAUCCUGGCUGUGGUGGCCAUGGCCUACGAGGAACAGAAUCAGGCCACCUUGGAAGAAGCAGAACAGAAAGAGGCCGAAUUUCAGCAGAUGAUCGAACAGCUUAGAAAGCAACAGGAGGCAGCUCAGCAGGCAGCAACGGCAACUGCCUCAGAACAUUCCAGAGAGCCCAGUGCAGCAGGCAGGCUCUCAGACAGCUCAUCUGAAGCCUCUAAGUUGAGUUCCAAGAGUGCUAAGGAAAGAAGAAAUCGGAGGAAGAAAAGAAAACAGAAAGAGCAGUCUGGUGGGGAAGAGAAAGAUGAGGAUGAAUUCCAAAAAUCUGAAUCUGAGGACAGCAUCAGGAGGAAAGGUUUUCGCUUCUCCAUUGAAGGGAACCGAUUGACAUAUGAAAAGAGGUACUCUUCCCCACACCAGUCUUUGCUGAGCAUCCGUGGCUCCCUAUUUUCACCAAGGCGAAAUAGCAGAACAAGCCUUUUCAGCUUUAGAGGGCGAGCAAAGGAUGUGGGAUCUGAGAACGACUUCGCAGAUGAUGAGCACAGUACCUUUGAGGAUAACGAGAGCCGUAGAGAUUCCUUGUUUGUGCCCCGACGACAUGGAGAGAGACGCAACAGCAACCUGAGUCAGACCAGUAGGUCAUCCCGGAUGCUGGCAGUGUUUCCAGCGAAUGGGAAGAUGCACAGCACUGUGGAUUGCAAUGGUGUGGUUUCCUUGGUUGGUGGACCUUCAGUUCCUACAUCGCCUGUUGGACAGCUUCUGCCAGAGGUGAUAAUAGAUAAGCCAGCUACUGAUGACAAUGGAACAACCACUGAAACUGAAAUGAGAAAGAGAAGGUCAAGUUCUUUCCACAUUUCCAUGGACUUUCUAGAAGAUCCUUCCCAAAGGCAACGAGCAAUGAGUAUAGCCAGCAUUCUAACAAAUACAGUAGAAGAACUUGAAGAAUCCAGGCAGAAAUGCCCACCCUGUUGGUAUAAAUUUUCCAACAUAUUCUUAAUCUGGGACUGUUCUCCAUAUUGGUUAAAAGUGAAACAUGUUGUCAACCUGGUCGUGAUGGACCCAUUUGUUGACCUGGCUAUCACCAUCUGUAUUGUCUUAAAUACUCUUUUCAUGGCCAUGGAGCACUAUCCAAUGACAGACCAUUUCAAUAAUGUGCUUACAGUAGGAAACUUGGUUUUCACUGGGAUCUUUACAGCAGAAAUGUUUCUGAAAAUUAUUGCCAUGGACCCUUACUAUUAUUUCCAAGAAGGCUGGAAUAUCUUUGAUGGUUUUAUUGUGACGCUUAGCCUGGUAGAACUUGGACUCGCCAAUGUGGAAGGAUUAUCUGUUCUCCGUUCAUUUCGAUUGCUGCGAGUUUUCAAGUUGGCAAAAUCUUGGCCAACAUUAAAUAUGCUAAUAAAGAUCAUCGGCAAUUCCGUGGGGGCUCUGGGAAAUUUAACCCUUGUCUUGGCUAUCAUCGUCUUCAUUUUUGCCGUGGUCGGCAUGCAGCUCUUUGGUAAAAGCUACAAAGAUUGUGUCUGCAAGAUCGCCAGUGAUUGUCAACUCCCACGCUGGCACAUGAAUGACUUCUUCCACUCCUUCCUGAUCGUGUUCCGCGUGCUGUGUGGGGAGUGGAUAGAAACCAUGUGGGACUGUAUGGAGGUUGCUGGUCAAGCCAUGUGCCUUACUGUCUUCAUGAUGGUCAUGGUGAUUGGAAACCUAGUGGUCCUGAAUCUCUUUCUGGCCUUGCUUCUGAGCUCAUUUAGUGCAGACAACCUUGCAGCCACUGAUGAUGAUAAUGAAAUGAAUAAUCUCCAAAUUGCUGUGGAUAGGAUGCACAAAGGAGUAGCUUAUGUGAAAAGAAAAAUAUAUGAAUUUAUUCAACAGUCCUUCGUUAGGAAACAAAAGAUUUUAGAUGAAAUUAAACCACUUGAUGAUCUAAACAACAAGAAAAACAGUUGUAUGUCCAAUCAUACAACAGAAAUUGGGAAAGAUCUUGACUAUCUUAAAGAUGUAAAUGGAACUACAAGUGGUAUAGGAACUGGCAGCAGUGUUGAAAAAUACAUUAUUGAUGAAAGUGAUUACAUGUCAUUCAUAAACAAUCCUAGUCUUACUGUGACUGUACCAAUUGCUGUAGGAGAAUCUGACUUUGAAAAUUUAAACACGGAAGACUUUAGUAGUGAAUCGGAUCUGGAAGAAAGCAAAGAGAAACUGAAUGAAAGCAGUAGCUCAUCAGAAGGUAGCACUGUGGACAUCGGCGCACCUGCAGAAGAACAGCCCGUAGUGGAACCUGAAGAAACCCUUGAACCGGAAGCUUGUUUCACUGAAGGCUGUGUACAAAGAUUCAAGUGUUGUCAAAUCAAUGUGGAAGAAGGCAGAGGAAAACAAUGGUGGAACCUGAGAAGGACGUGUUUCCGAAUAGUUGAACAUAACUGGUUUGAGACCUUCAUUGUUUUCAUGAUUCUCCUUAGUAGUGGUGCUCUGGCAUUUGAAGAUAUAUAUAUUGAUCAGCGAAAGACGAUUAAGACGAUGUUGGAAUAUGCUGACAAGGUUUUCACUUACAUUUUCAUUCUGGAAAUGCUUCUAAAAUGGGUGGCAUAUGGCUAUCAAACAUAUUUCACCAAUGCCUGGUGUUGGCUGGACUUCUUAAUUGUUGAUGUUUCAUUGGUCAGUUUAACAGCAAAUGCCUUGGGUUACUCAGAACUUGGAGCCAUCAAAUCUCUCAGGACACUAAGAGCUCUGAGACCUCUAAGAGCCUUAUCUCGAUUUGAAGGGAUGAGGGUAAGAAAAAUGAAAGAACCUGAAGUAUUGCAUAUAGCCAAAAUUAAACUAAAUUAAAUUUAGAAAAAGGAAAAUCCAUGCAUGCAAAAGGAAUGGCAAAUUCUUGCAAAAUUGCUACUUUAUUGUUUUAUCUGUUGCAUAUUUACUUCUAGGUGAUAUGCAAGAGAAAUAGGCCUCUCUUGAAAUGAUAUAAUAUCAUUUAUCUGCUGUGCUUAUUUAAAUGACUUUAUUUCCUAAUCCAUCUUGGGAGUUUCCUUACAAAUCUAUAUACAAAAAAAAGCAGAUGCAUUAUUAAAGUACUAUGUGUAAUGAUAUAAUAGUAAUCUAAAGUAAAUUCUAUAUCAGGUACUUAUUCUUUGU